This 404-nucleotide ribosomal RNA is filed under the name uncultured bacterium. RNAcentral describes it as "bacterial SSU rRNA". It matches the Rfam family "Bacterial small subunit ribosomal RNA", at positions 355 to 776 of the family's 1533-position model. The record is from RNAcentral.
UGGGGAAUAUUGGACAAUGGGCGCAAGCCUGAUCCAGCAAUACCGCGUGAGUGAUGAAGGUCUUCGGAUUGUAAAGCUCUUUUAGUAGGGAAGAUAAUGACGGUACCUACAGAAAAAGCACCGGCAAACUUCGUGCCAGCAGCCGCGGUAAUACGAAGGGUGCUAGCGUUGUUCGGAAUUAUUGGGCGUAAAGGGUACGUAGGCGGCAUGGUAAGUCAAUUGUGAAAGCCCUGAGCUCAACUCGGGAAUUGCAAUCGAAACUGUCGUGCUUGAGUUUGGUGGGGGAUGAUGGAAUUCCUAGUGUAGGGGUGAAAUCCGUAGAUAUUAGGAGGAACACCGGUGGCGAAAGCGAUCAUCUACGCCAAUACUGACGCUGAGGUACGAAAGCGUGGGGAGCAAACAGG